UACGAAGGGAGCUAGCGUUGUUCGGAAUCACUGGGCGUAAAGCGCACGUAGGCGGAUGUGUCAGUCAGGGGUGAAAUCCCGGAGCUCAACUUCGGAACUGCCUUUGAUACAGCACGUCUUGAAUCCGGGAGAGGGAUGUGGAAUUCCAGGUGUAGCGGUGAAAUGCGUAGAUAUCUGGAGGAACACCGGUGGCGAAGGCGGCAUCCUGGACCGGUAUUGACGCUGAGGCGCGAAAGCUAGGGGAGCAAACGGG
RNAcentral lists this ribosomal RNA (253 nucleotides) under uncultured bacterium. RNAcentral describes it as "partial 16S ribosomal RNA". It matches the Rfam family "Bacterial small subunit ribosomal RNA", at positions 524 to 776 of the family's 1533-position model. The record is from RNAcentral.